Molecule: ribosomal RNA, 1018 nt
Filed under: Mythicomyia atra
Lineage: Eukaryota; Metazoa; Arthropoda; Insecta; Diptera; Mythicomyiidae
Description: SSU rRNA
Rfam family: Eukaryotic small subunit ribosomal RNA
Source: RNAcentral
CCUGAGAAACGGCUACCACAUCUAAGGAAGGCAGCAGGCGCGUAAAUUACCCACUCCCAGCACGGGGAGGUAGUGACGAAAAAUAACAAUACAGGACUCAUAUUCGAGGCCCUGUAAUUGGAAUGAGUACACUUUAAAUACUUUAACAAGGACCUAUUGGAGGGCAAGUCUGGUGCCAGCAGCUGCGGUAAUUCCAGCUCCAAUAGCGUAUAUUAAAGUUGUUGCGGUUAAACGUUCGUAGUUGAAUUUGUGCUUCAAACGGGUAGUACACCUAAAAUAUUGGUUCGUACAUUACCUUUUUGUAUGUGAGCGUAUUACCGGUGGAGUUUUAAUGCUGCGUGUGCUUCACAUUGUAGUAUUGGCUCCUAUUAAAAAAACCUGCUUCAGUGCUCUUUGCUGAGUGCGGUUGUGGGCCGGUACUAUUACUUUGAACAAAUUAGAGUGCUUAAAGCAGGCUACAAUUGCCUGAAUAUUUUGUGCAUGGAAUAAUGGAAUAAGACCUCUGUUCUACUUUCAUUGGUUUUUAGAUCAAGAGGUAAUGAUUAAUAGAAGCAGUUGGGGGCAUUAGUAUUACGACGCAGAGGGUGAAAUUCUUGGACCGUCGUAAGACUAACUUAAGCGAAAGCAUUUGCCAAAGAUGUUUUCAUUAAUCAAGAACGAAAGUUAGAGGUUCGAAGGCGAUCAGAUACCGCCCUAGUUCUAACCAUAAACGAUGCCAGCUAGCAAUUGGGUGUAGCUACUUUUAUGGCUUUCUCAGUCGCUUCCCGGGAAACCAAAGCUUUUGGGCUCCGGGGGAAGUAUGGUUGCAAAGCUGAAACUUAAAGGAAUUGACGGAAGGGCACCACCAGGAGUGGAGCCUGCGGCUUAAUUUGACUCAACACGGGAAAACUUACCAGGUCCGAACAUAAAUGAGUAAGACAGAUUGAUAGCUCUUUCUCGAAUCUAUGGGUGGUGGUGCAUGGCCGUUGUUAGUUCGUGGAGUGAUUUGUCUGGUUAAUUCCGAUAACGAACGAGACUC